This 349-nucleotide ribosomal RNA is filed under the name uncultured bacterium. RNAcentral describes it as "bacterial SSU rRNA". It matches the Rfam family "Bacterial small subunit ribosomal RNA", at positions 28 to 377 of the family's 1533-position model. The record is from RNAcentral.
GAUGAACGCUAGCGGAAGGCUUAAUACAUGCAAGUCGAGCGGUAGGUGGCUUCGGCCAUUGAGAGCGGCGCACGGGUGAGUAACGCGUACAUGACCUGCCUGUCAGAAGGGGAUAGCCCUGGGAAACUGGGAUUAAUACCCUAUGGUAUUGAUAUUAUGAAUGAUAUCAAUUAAAGUUGAGGCGCUGACAGAUGGAUGUGCGUCUGAUUAGCUAGUUGGUAGGGUAACGGGCCUACCAAGGCGACGAUCAGUAGGGGGCGGUGAGAGCGUGGUCCCCCACCACGGGUACGUGAGACACGGACCCGACUCCUACGGGAGGGCAGCAGUAAGGAAUAUUGGUCAAUGCCCG